AGUGAACGCUGGCGGUAGGCCUAACACAUGCAAGUCGAACGGCAGCACAGGAGAGCUUGCUCUCUGGGUGGCGAGUGGCGGACGGGUGAGGAAUACAUCGGAAUCUACUUUUUCGUGGGGGAUAACGUAGGGAAACUUACGCUAAUACCGCAUACGACCUACGGGUGAAAGCAGGGGAUCUUCGGACCUUGCGCGAUUGAAUGAGCCGAUGUCGGAUUAGCUAGUUGGCGGGGUAAAGGCCCACCAAGGCGACGAUCCGUAGCUGGUCUGAGAGGAUGAUCAGCCACACUGGAACUGAGACACGGUCCAGACUCCUACGGGAGGCAGCAGUGGGGAAUAUUGGACAAUGGGCGCAAGCCUGAUUCAGCCAUACCGCGUGGGUGAAGAAGGCCUUCGGGUUGUAAAGCCCUUUUGUUGGGAAAGAAAUCCUGCUGGCUAAUACCCGGUUGGGAUGACGGUACCCAAAGAAUAAGCACCGGCUAACUUCGUGCCAGCCGCCGCUGUAA
RNAcentral lists this ribosomal RNA (506 nucleotides) under uncultured bacterium. RNAcentral describes it as "partial 16S ribosomal RNA". It matches the Rfam family "Bacterial small subunit ribosomal RNA", at positions 29 to 523 of the family's 1533-position model. The record is from RNAcentral.